UCCUAGUUAUAAUCAAUUAUUCAUACUACUAUACGUACUAAAUUUUUGUUUUAGAGGUCGUAAUACCUUGCCAUCUCUGAAUUAUGACUUAAGCAUAAGACUUUGUAUGGUAGGGUGUUACAUUAUGGUAUCAGAGAAGUUCGUUCCUGUAGAGCCUGAGGAAUGGACUGACUAUGCUUCUGUGCAUUCUUUGUGUGUGUGUUAUGUGCUACUAGUAUAUCUGCUUGAUAUAAUUGGCAUAAACGUUCAUGAGCAUGCAUUUGGGACUUUGAAGCACUAGACUUCCGAUAUUGAGACUGAUCAACUUAAUAUUGAUUGUUUGGUGUGUAUA
RNAcentral lists this long non-coding RNA (331 nucleotides) under Arachis ipaensis. Its description in RNAcentral is "long non-coding RNA (AIPA_LNC002034)". Lineage: Eukaryota; Viridiplantae; Streptophyta; Magnoliopsida; Fabales; Fabaceae. The record is from RNAcentral.